Long non-coding RNA from Armigeres subalbatus, 1021 nucleotides. RefSeq lists it as uncharacterized. The record is from RefSeq and is a predicted model, not a curated record. The transcript has 4 exons. NCBI's taxonomy places the organism in Eukaryota, Metazoa, Arthropoda, Insecta, Diptera, Culicidae.
ACGGAAAGUGCAUGAAUUUACCCCAUUACGACGACGGAAAUAAUCACCCACUGGACGAAUUUCUCGCCGGAACGGCCCGUAACUGCAUCAACAACGUCUUGCAACGAGGACAGUGUAAAUCGUCCCAAUAGGUGCGCCGGAUAACCGCGACGGAGCCAGGGAAUUCCGUUAUCAUCGUGCAGUGUGCGGAGGGGAUAAAGCGUUUCGUCGAAAGAUCUCAGGAAGUGUUCGUGCUACCAAGAAGGUAUCGAUCGUGGUUCGAGUAUACGGCUUCAAGUCGUUUUCCGUAAAACCGCAUAGGGUAACUGCGACAAUUGUCGGCACGGGCAAAGGCCUAGGCGAGAGCCAAUCGUUUCGUACGGAUAGCAAUUGGAAGCGCUCUCACCAUGGCCCACCGAAAUCAGCUUAGGUGCUACAAGGGGCAAACUCCGCAGCCGAGGCAAAACGUGUGGCUGGGAGUCGGUACGGGUGGUAGAGAUGCUAUGAUCGAAGAACGAACUGGAAUUGAAGAACGACACGAAGAGGACACCGAAGAAGUCAACGCUGGAAGCGGCUCUGAAGAUGAACCAUUCAGGGGAUUCCCUAUGGUUCCGGCAAAGGUCAGGAAGCGAAACGCGACAUUGGCGAACUUGCCGAACGCGUGUCCACGGCGAUCGAAAAGAAUCCGCAAGCGAACGGUAGAUCCAGAUUACGUGUAUUCUUAAUGUAUAAGUUUCAAGUGAUGAAAUUUCGAGACAGUGAAUUAUCUGAAUUAUUUUUCAUUGAAUUUUGUUAUUUUGUAUUAUAUUUGAAAAUGUUCAACUUCUGAUUCUAUUACACGAAUACUAAUGUAUUAAUUAAAAGGGGGAACAGCUGUUGUGUCACCCACACUAUCUAUGUAUAAAUAUGUAUAUACCUGUAAACGUAUAAGACUUUGAUACAAACGUCAAACGUUCGUAAAACGAAUCACCUCGUGCUUGCGAGGUACCAAAUAAAGAUUAUUCGUCCUCUUUCCCAUUGGACCAGCAACGAAGCCACACGU